UUAUGGCUCAGAACGAACGCUGGCGGCAGGUCUUAGGCAUGCAAGUCGAACGGAUGACAGAGAGCUUGCCCUCUGAAGUCAGUGGCGCACGAGUGAGUAACGCGUCGGGAAACUGCCCUUCACUGGGGAAUAACGUUUGGAAACGAACGCUAAUACCGCAUACGCCCGCAAGGGGAAAGAUUUAUCGGUGACGGAUGUGCCCGCGUUGGAUUAGCUAGUUGGUGGGGUAAUGGCCUACCAAGGCGAUGAUCCAUAGCUGGUCUGAGAGGACGAUCAGCCACGCUGGAACUGAGACACGGUCCAGACUCCUACGGGAGGCAGCAGCUAAGAAUAUUGGGCAAUGGAGGAAACUCUGACCCAGCCCAUGCCGCGUGAAUGAAGAAGGCCUUCGGGUUGUAAAGUUCUUUUAGUCAUGAAGAUGAUGACAGUAGUGACAGAAAAAGCACCGGCUAACUUCGUGCCAGCAGCGGC
This 471-nucleotide ribosomal RNA is filed under the name uncultured bacterium. RNAcentral's name for it is "bacterial SSU rRNA". It matches the Rfam family "Bacterial small subunit ribosomal RNA", at positions 17 to 518 of the family's 1533-position model. The record is from RNAcentral.